Molecule: ribosomal RNA, 324 nt
Filed under: uncultured bacterium
Lineage: Bacteria
Description: bacterial SSU rRNA
Rfam family: Bacterial small subunit ribosomal RNA
Source: RNAcentral
GAUGAACGCUGGCGGCGUGCUUAACACAUGCAAGUCGAACGAAGCGCUUAAAUGGAUUUCUUCGGAUUGAAGUUUUUGUGACUGAGUGGCGGACGGGUGAGUAACGCGUGGGUAACUUGCCUCAUACAGGGGGAUAACAGUUAGAAAUGACUGCUAAUACCGCAUAAGCGCACAGUGCUGCAUGGCACAGUGUGAAAAACUCCGGUGGUAUGAGAUGGACCCGCGUCUGAUUAGCUAGUUGGUGGGGUAACGGCCUACCAAGGCGACGAUCAGUAGCCGGCCUGAGAGGGUGAACGGCCACAAGGGGACUGAGACACGGCCCUU